AUGUUAUCAAAUAGGGCGCUAGGCGAUGGCCGGUCCAGGGAAUACACCAGCAUGACCACGGACCAAGGAUGCGCCUGUUGCUGCAGUACACCGUCCUCCUCAAGGUCCACCUCCGCUAGCUCUACCUCGCCCUCAGAAUCUUCUCCUUCCCUGAAGUCCUCUGGCCCUUCAACCUCCCGCUCGGCGCGAUGCCGGGUCGUCGACGGCGCCGCCGUCUCGUCCGCCGUCUUCAUCUGCGUCCAGAUCGUCAACGGUUGCAUCUGCGGGUUGAUCCGCCUAGCAGCCACAGCUCCCCCAUUGGAAGGCUUCGGGCGAGCAGCGUCCACGGAGGGAGCCCUAUAUGCGCCCCCACCAACCUCCGGGAUCACUUCGGCCGCCGGCGACUUCUUGCCUUUCUCGCUCGCGGACGACGACAUCUCGGCUAACAGCGGCGGCGAUGGCUUGAGAGUUGUGCGAUCUGGUGGCUUACGCGGUUCCUGA
RNAcentral lists this ribosomal RNA (480 nucleotides) under Triticum aestivum (bread wheat). Its description in RNAcentral is "partial small subunit ribosomal RNA". Lineage: Eukaryota; Viridiplantae; Streptophyta; Magnoliopsida; Poales; Poaceae. The record is from RNAcentral.